Molecule: ribosomal RNA, 702 nt
Filed under: uncultured bacterium
Lineage: Bacteria
Description: bacterial SSU rRNA
Rfam family: Bacterial small subunit ribosomal RNA
Source: RNAcentral
AGAGUUUGAUCAUGGCUCAGAAUCAACGCUGGCGGCGUGCCUCAGACAUGCAAGUCGAACGAUUAAAGCUCUCUUCGGAGAGUGCAUAGAGUGGCGUACGGGAGAGUAACACGUAAGUAAUCUACCCUCGGGUGGGGAAUAACUUAAGGAAACUUAAGCUAAUACCGCAUAAUGCAGCGGCUCCUAAUGGAGACAGUUGUUAAAGCAUUUAUGCGCCUGGGGAGGAGCUUGCGGCAGAUUAGCUAGUUGGUAAGGUAACGGCUUACCAAGGCAACGAUCUGUAGCCGGUCUAAGAGGACGGUCGGUCUCACUGACACUGAAUAACGGGUCAGACUCCUACGGGAGGCAGCAGUCGGGAAUUUUGGGCAAUGGGCGAAAGCCUGACCCAGCAACGCCGCGUGAAGGAUGAAGUCUUUCGGGAUGUAAACUUCGGAAAUAUGGGAAGAAUAAGUGACGGUACCAUAUCUAAGGUCCGGCUAACUACGUGCCAGCAGCCGCGGUAAUACGUAGGGACCAAGCGUUGUUCGGAUUUACUGGGCGUAAAGGGUGCGUAGGCGGCGCUGCAAGUCAAUUGUGAAAUCUCCGGGCUUAACUCGGAACGGCCAAUUGAUACUGCAGUGCUAGAGUGCAGAAUGGGCAAGUGGAAUUCUUGGUGUAGCGGUGAAAUGCGUAGAUAUCAAGAGGAACACCUGAGGCGAAGGC